GACGAACGCUGGCGGCGUGCCUAAUACAUGCAAGUCGAACGAACCGCGACUAAGUGCUUGCACUAAGUCAAGGUGAGUGGCGAACGGGUGAGUAACACGUGGGUAACCCACCUCAUAGUGGGGGAUAACAGUCGGAAACGACUGCUAAUACCGCAUAGGACAUAGGAUCACAUGAUCCAGUGAGGAAAGGUGGCGCAAGCUAUCGCUAAGAGAUGGACCCGCGGUGCAUUAGCUAGUUGGUAGGGUAAAGGCCUACCAAGGCGAUGAUGCAUAGCCGACCUGAGAGGGUGAUCGGCCACAUUGGGACUGAGACACGGCCCAAACUCCUACGGGAGGCAGCAGUAGGGAAUCUUCCGCAAUGGACGCAAGUCUGACGGAGCAACGCCGCGUGAGUGAAGAAGGUCUUCGGAUCGUAAAGCUCUGUUGUUAGAGAAGAACAGCGCAUAGAGUAACUGCUAUGCGUGUGACGGUAUCUAACCAGAAAGCCACGGCUAACUACGCG
RNAcentral lists this ribosomal RNA (502 nucleotides) under uncultured bacterium. Its description in RNAcentral is "partial 16S ribosomal RNA". It matches the Rfam family "Bacterial small subunit ribosomal RNA", at positions 28 to 507 of the family's 1533-position model. The record is from RNAcentral.